RNAcentral lists this long non-coding RNA (1148 nucleotides) under Heterocephalus glaber (naked mole-rat). RNAcentral's name for it is "lncRNA (ENSHGLG00000049639.1)". The record is from RNAcentral. Lineage: Eukaryota; Metazoa; Chordata; Mammalia; Rodentia; Bathyergidae.
GUGCAUGGCUUUAUUAUUAUUAUUAUUAUUAUUAUUUUAUUAUUUUGUACCGGGAUUGAACUCAAGACCUUGCGCUUGCGAGGCAGGCAUAUUAAUAUUAUUAUUAUUGGCUUUUUUGAGACAGGGUCUCAUUGUGCAGUUCAGGCUGGCCUCAAACUCACUUUGUACCCCAUGCUGGCCUGCAACUCAUCAUGUUCCUCCUGCCUCAGCUUCCCGAGUUCUGGGAUUACAGGAACAUGUGGCAGGGCACAGCCGGUCAUCCUGUCUGUGUUUGGGGGACACCUGAGAUCCGAACCAGAGCACCCACUUUGCUGUACCCUCCCAGAGAUGCCUUGAAAGCGGAACUGUUGGACUCAUGUUGACCAGUGCUUGACCAGCGUCCAUUGCGAGCAUGAAUAAAGUCCAUUUACGCUUUCCCCAUGACUAACUCCUGAUCCUCCCAAGCCCUGGACUCCUAAAGAGCAACAGGGCCUCUGCUGUGCUGGAAGAGUCAGGGUUUGGCCUGACUGCUGAUUUCUUUCUGCUAAAUUUUACACCCCCUUUGCCACCUUCCCCCAGGACCCCGUGGGCCAUGAGAAUGGUAGAUGCUGAGACACAAGACUCCAAGAGCCAGCACAAGGAUGGAGGCUUGUGACACAGCGCGGUGGACAGGAGUGGAGGGGCCAGUCCUGCUUUGGCUCCUUUGAGCCGUGCGGCCUCAGCUGUAUUCCUAACCUCAUUGCUGCCAUGGUACAGUGGGGUCUCCAGACUCCACCUGGUUGGAUUGUGUGAGGACAGAGACCAGCAUAUGGAGAACCCAGGCUUUGGCCAAAGCCAGAUCAUUUCCACAGCACGAGAUGAACCACAUUUGGAAGAAGAACUGCUCCUGAACUUGGAGAACUAAAAACAAAACAAAAAAAUUUCUAAGAGUCUUAAAGGCACAGCAAGUUUGUAAAUUGGGUGACACCUCCGCCCUCAAGGAAGCCACAGUUAUUCAUGAGUAGCAGACCUCGACUUCAGCACACAUGGAAAUGGUUUGCAUGCCGACAUCGCCGGCCAGGUGGGUGACACCAGAUGGUCACCGUGACCAACAGCAGGAGCACACAGCCUGGAUCACCCAUCUUGAAGACACCCCAGGAACCCAUAAAUAAACCAGCUUUGGAUCAUAA